RNAcentral lists this ribosomal RNA (252 nucleotides) under Escherichia coli. RNAcentral describes it as "partial 16S ribosomal RNA". It matches the Rfam family "Bacterial small subunit ribosomal RNA", at positions 1 to 249 of the family's 1533-position model. Lineage: Bacteria; Pseudomonadati; Pseudomonadota; Gammaproteobacteria; Enterobacterales; Enterobacteriaceae. The record is from RNAcentral.
AAAUUGAAGAGUUUGAUCAUGGCUCAGAUUGAAUGCUGGCGGCAGGCCUAACACAUGCAAGUCGAACGGUAACAGGAAACAGCUUGCUGUUUCGCUGACGAGUGGCGGACGGGUGAGUAAUGUCUGGGAAACUGCCUGAUGGAGGGGGAUAACUACUGGAAACGGUAGCUAAUACCGCAUAACGUCGCAAGACCAAAGAGGGGGACCUUCGGGCCUCUUGCCAUCGGAUGUGCCCAGAUGGGAUUAGCUUGU